GAAGAAGCCUUCGGGUUGUAACCUUCUUCAGCAGGAAGAAGCGCAAGUGCCGUACCUGCAGAAGAAGCCCGGCUAACUACGUGCCAGCAGCCGCGGUAAUACGUAGGGCGCAAGCGUUGUCCGGAAUUAUUGGGCGUAAAGAGCUCGUAGGCGGUUUGUCGCGUCUGCUGUGAAAACUCGAGGCUCAACCUCGGGCUUGCAGUGGGUACGGGCAGACUAGAGUGCGGUAGGGGAGACUGGAAUUCCUGGUGUAGCGGUGGAAUGCGCAGAUAUCAGGAGGAACACCGAUGGCGAAGGCAGGUCUCUGGGCCGCAACUGACGCUGAGGAGCGAAAGCAUGGGGAGCGAACAGGAUUAGAUACCCUGGUAGUCCAUGCCGUAAACGUUGGGCACUAGGUGUGGGGCUCAUUCCACGAGUUCCGUGCCGCAGCAAACGCAUUAAGUGCCCCGCCUGGGGAGUACGGCCGCAAGGCUAAAACUCAAAGAAAUUGACGGGGGCCCGCACAAGCGGCGGAGCAUGCGGAUUAAUUCGAUGCAACGCGAAGAACCUUACCAAGGCUUGACAUACACCGGAAACUUCCAGAGAUGGUUGCCCCGCAAGGUCGGUGUACAGGUGGUGCAUGGUUGUCGUCAGCUCGUGUCGUGAGAUGUUGGGUUAAGUCCCGCAACGAGCGCAACCCUCGUCCUAUGUUGCCAGCGGGUCAUGCCGGGGACUCAUAGGAGACUGCCGGGGUCAACUCGGAGGAAGGUGGGGAUGACGUCAAAUCAUCAUGCCCCUUAUGUCUUGGGCUUCACGCAUGCUACAAUGGCCGGUACAAAGGGCUGCGAUACCGCGAGGUGGAGCGAAUCCCAAAAAGCCGGUCUCAGUUCGGAUUGGGGUCUGCAACUCGACCCCAUGAAGUCGGAGUCGCUAGUAAUCGCAGAUCAGCAACGCUGCGGUGAAUACGUUCCCGGGCCUUGUACACACCGCCCGUCAAGUCACGAAAGUCGGUAACACCCGAAGCCGGUGGCCCAACUGUUCGCAGGGGA
RNAcentral lists this ribosomal RNA (1028 nucleotides) under Cellulomonas sp. Its description in RNAcentral is "bacterial SSU rRNA". It matches the Rfam family "Bacterial small subunit ribosomal RNA", at positions 407 to 1451 of the family's 1533-position model. The record is from RNAcentral. Lineage: Bacteria; Bacillati; Actinomycetota; Actinomycetes; Micrococcales; Cellulomonadaceae.